Non-coding RNA from Chiloscyllium plagiosum (whitespotted bambooshark), 950 nucleotides. Lineage: Eukaryota; Metazoa; Chordata; Chondrichthyes; Orectolobiformes; Hemiscylliidae. The record is from RefSeq and is a predicted model, not a curated record.
AGGCCAAGAAAGCGGAAACGAUUGAGAUAGAGUGCGCUCAUUCAGAAGAGAGUUUGCACACGGUCACAGAUGGUGUGAGAGAAAGAAGAAGAAAAAAAUUGCGUUUAUGAAACCCCUGUCACAGCCCAUUGGGUUACAAAAUGCCUCAGAGAAUGUGGCCAUCGUUGGUUUUAGGGUCCAUUCCUAAUUGCCCCUUGCUUGAGUGGAUUGGUCAGCCACUUCAGAAAUCAGUGACUACCCCAGAAGGAUCCCUCUGCUGGGAAACUCAUUCCGAGCUCCUGUGGUCAGAAAUUUAAUGAAGGGAGCCAGAUGCUUUUUCCUUGGACCCUCUGAGUGGUUGAAGGCUCAGUCACCCAAUCAUCCAAAAAAAGCAAUUGGCAAGCGGUGACCUUAGGGAAUGAUUCUGCAGAAGUUGGUAAGGUCUGGAAUGCUCUGCCUAAUGGCAACUACAAACUCAACAGAAAUCUCCAAAAAGGAACUGGGUGAACAGUUAAAGGAUAAAAAUUUGUGAUGGUUUUGGUCAAAGAGUAGAGCAGGAAGACAAACACUUCGAAAGAUCUAGUACACAGUCCAUGCCCUGAAUGGCCUUUUCUUGCACUGCACUAUUUGAGGAUUUGUCAAUUGGCAGCAACUUAAGACCACAUGCACAAAGCAUUUAAUGAACACAUUCACUCAGGACUGGAGGCCAAUGUAGAAAUUAUAAAGGCAUUAGAAAACAAAGAAUUGGAAGUGAAAAAUGAAGAAAGUUUGAUAGUGUUCACUAAUAUUUUCUUUGAAACAAAGCUCUCCCAGUGUGCUGAGGGAUUUCCCCAAGAGUUGAGUGUGGACAUAAGUUACUGAGAGAUUUGUUCUGUCCUGAUAUUCACCCGAGGGAAACAGCUGCUUGCUCACAGAGUCAGAAACAUCACUGAAACCAUGAUUAGCUAGAAAUCACAGUCUAACAUGCUCGG